UUAAUAAUAAUAAUAAUAGCGAAUUUUGACUCAUGGGCCCCACAAAAUCAAAAUACUACUUCCCUCUAUAAAUAGGCCAACCCAACCCCUCCAUCGUCACAAACUACACAUAAACACAGCUUCUUUCACCACCAUCAUUCGCUUCUCGUAAAACAAAAAUCCAUAAAAAAAAAAAAGGAAAAGCACAAAAUGUGCCCAACGGGAAGCGAACUUUCGAGAACCGUGGAGAAAUCGAAUCUGCGGUCGGCGUUCGACGUCCUUGACGCCGACGGCGACGGCCGGAUCAGCCACGCCGAUCUCCGCACCUUCUACGGCGGGAUCUCGGGCUCCGACGAAGACGUGAUCGGCUCGAUGAUCUCCGCGGCGGAUUUGAACCGGAACGGCUUCGUGGAGUACGAGGAAUUCGAGAGGGUUUUGGGCGGCGGCGAGGGGCGUAAGAGGAGAGAGAAGAAUGGGAGGAUGGAGGGCGCGAUGGAAGAGGCGUUUCGGGUGAUGGACAAGGAUGGGGAUGGGAAGGUCGGGAUCGAGGAUUUGAGGCUCUACCUGGAAUGGGCCGGGCUGGAGGCCCGCGACGAGGAUGUGCGGGCCAUGAUUUGCUUGGGCGGCGGUGAUGAAAGCGCAGGCGUUACAUUUGAGGGUUUGCUCAAAAUUCUCUCGGUUUGAAUUUUUCUUUGUUGAUGAUGAUGAUGAAAAAUUAAAAAUGUUUACUUUCCCCCCUCUUUUUUGGUGUUUUUAGAUUUCUUGGGAUAUGUGGAAGAAAAUUUGGUAGUAGUGUGAUUUUGCAGAGAACGAACAGUCUGGCACUUUUUUGUCUUUUUUAAUGGCUCUCUGUAUUUCUUGUUGAUUUUGGUGAUUUUGGUGAACCAUAACUUUUGUAGGGUUUAAUGUACGAUCAUUUUCCUGUCUAAAGAAAUAGUAGUAAAUAAAUGCUUGAUUGUUCUCUCUUUACGAAGAAAAUGAUAAUAAGGGUUACAAUAACAAUAAUGCUAUUUGGACAAAAUUUGUCCGCACAAAAUAUAGUUAAAUACUUUAUAAAAUAAAUUUAUUUAAAAGUUUUGAUUCAAAAUAAAAUAGGAUUUAGUUAGUUUUAUUGUUUUCUUUAUAUUGUAAUUUUUUAAUAACCUUUUUAAUUAUUAGUAUUUUUAAAGUACACAAAUUACAAAUAAAAUAACAAAAAAUAAAAAAAAUGUUAAAAAAUUAUGAAAAAAUUACAAUAGAAAAAACAAUAAAACUAAUUAAAUCCUUUCAAACUUGAAUCAAAAUUUAUAAAUAAAUUGAUUUUUAAAAAAAUUUAACCUUAUUUUUGUCCGAACAAAUUUUGUCCAAAUAGCACUGCUCUUACAAUAAACAUGACACCAAUUAACGUCAUUAAAGACUACAAUUUUCAUUAACGUGAUUUUUAUUUUUAUUUUUAACAAUGAAAAACUACAAUUUUCAUUAACAAAUAUAGUAUUAUAUUAUUAUCUCUCUAUUCAGUAGUAAACAUGACAUAAAAAUACGGGUUACAAUAAACAUACGGAUUAAAGACUACAAUUUUCAUUAACAAAUAUAGUAUUAUUAUCUCUCUAUUCAGGAAGUAGAAUUACAGUGAAAAAGUGUUUUAAUUUUUUUUAACAAUGAAAAAUUGUUUUAAUUAGUAUUCAAAGUGGUGAAAAUAUCAAAAAUAAUGGUAAAUGAUAUAUUGAUAAGUGAUGAUAUAUAGUCCAAAAAUAGGAAAUUUUUUUGUAGAUAUCUCAAAAAGAAAAAAUAGAAAAAAAAUUCGUGGACGAAUGAAGUAUACUAUACACCUUCUAUUCCUGAAACAUGACACCAAUUUUAAUUAAAAAUAGUUAUAUAUUUAAUGGGUGGAGAAUGAAUCUCAUAAAUUAAAAUAAGAUAGAAAAAAUAAUGAUAGUGAUUAAUUUACUAAUUAAAAUAAAAAUGGAUAGAUAUAUUAAUGACAAUGUGUGUAAAUAUAUAAAAAUCGUAAGAAUAAUAAUUAGUUAAAUUAUUUUUAAAAAUAUAUUAGGAAGAUGGCAUGGGAAAAGAAAAUAAAUAGAGAUAUUUUAAAAACGAAUGAAGCAAUGUGAUAUUGAAUUAUAUGAAAAAUAAUCAAUCAAUUCUUAAUUUCUCGAAUUGUUGUCCUUUGGUUCGUCUUGA
Molecule: long non-coding RNA, 2139 nt
Filed under: Salvia miltiorrhiza (redroot sage)
Lineage: Eukaryota; Viridiplantae; Streptophyta; Magnoliopsida; Lamiales; Lamiaceae
Description: long non-coding RNA (SMIL_LNC007127)
Source: RNAcentral